UAAGCUACAGCAUUAAGUAGUGUAAGUACGCACUUUAAACACACUUUUACUUACAUGAAUAACUCUCAUGAAUUUGCUAUCCCACCUUAAAAGCUGCUAAUCUACCAUUCCGCGGCACACAGGCUUCAGGUUGUAGAUACUAUUUUUGGCAUUUUUUAAAGGUGGAACAGAACAUUCAAAUUGGAAUUCACAUUCUGUUUUAUAUGGACUGUUUGUGCACACCCUAAGCAGAAAUGUGUAAAAUACUUAUUUUAAUAACUUUAUCGUGUACGACAGUCUACAAAAAGGAAGCUGUGUUUUAACGUAGAUGUGAAAAUGUGUUUUAAUGCAGGGAAAUAUGUUAAGGUGGAACCGAAAUGUGUUUUAAGGCGGAAGGGAAAUAUGAACAAGAAACUAAAAGCUGCAUACGCUGCAGUAGCCCAAUUUACAAGUCUCUCAGAGCCAUGAAUAGUUUUCAUCAUCUGUGUCCACAAGAUUCUGAAGAUCUUACAGGUGUAAACCUUUACUCCCCAUCUUACAGCCCUACGGUCCCUAGACGUGAACAGAAACUGAUCAGCAAACCCCAGUGAGCCGUUAUCAAGACAAUCAUAAAUGAAGUGCUUUCUGAUCCUGACAUAACCUUUGACUAUUGUGACCUGGAGGAUGAUCUCAAUGAUUUUUGCCAUCUUUCCAAGUCUGUGGAUCUGAUUUGCAAGAAACUUGCCUAUGUGACAUAUAGACAUGGUUCAAGACGUCAAUGUAAGCAUGUUCGUUCAUUGUGAAAAAACGUUUGAAUCUGGUUAUGAAUUGUGAAAUGUGUCAAACACAAGGCC
RNAcentral lists this long non-coding RNA (812 nucleotides) under Astyanax mexicanus (Mexican tetra). RNAcentral's name for it is "lncRNA (ENSAMXG00005018612.1)". The record is from RNAcentral. Lineage: Eukaryota; Metazoa; Chordata; Actinopteri; Characiformes; Acestrorhamphidae.